This 253-nucleotide ribosomal RNA is filed under the name uncultured bacterium. RNAcentral describes it as "partial 16S ribosomal RNA". It matches the Rfam family "Bacterial small subunit ribosomal RNA", at positions 524 to 776 of the family's 1533-position model. The record is from RNAcentral.
GACGGAGGGGGCUAGCGUUGCUCGGAAUUACUGGGCGUAAAGGGCGCGUAGGCGGGUUUGCAAGUUAGAGGUGAAAGCCCAGGGCUCAACCCUGGAAUUGCCUUUAAGACUGCAUCGCUUGAACAUCGGAGAGGUAAGUGGAAUUCCGAGUGUAGAGGUGAAAUUCGUAGAUAUUCGGAAGAACACCAGUGGCGAAGGCGACUUACUGGACGAUUGUUGACGCUGAGGUGCGAAAGCGUGGGGAGCAAACAGG